Molecule: long non-coding RNA, 212 nt
Filed under: Homo sapiens (human)
Lineage: Eukaryota; Metazoa; Chordata; Mammalia; Primates; Hominidae
Description: HSALNT0118226
Source: RNAcentral
ACAGCUCUGACCCCAGUUCUCCAAAGGCCUCCUGGACAAGGAGCUUGGCCCCCAGAGCAAGGAGCUGCUGAAAACCAUCCCCACUCAGGGGCAGGGCCGGUGAUUGGAGGCCUGGGGAUGGUGUACCCCAUUUUUUAACAGCAAAGCAAAUGUGAGACACCACCCCACAGGACGGGGCAUCUGUCACACGGAAACCCAGGAGGAGGAAGGCG